This is a long non-coding RNA of Salarias fasciatus (jewelled blenny), 412 nucleotides long. RefSeq lists it as uncharacterized. Lineage: Eukaryota; Metazoa; Chordata; Actinopteri; Blenniiformes; Blenniidae. The record is from RefSeq and is a predicted model, not a curated record. The transcript has 3 exons.
AGAAGCUCAGGCUCAGCUAGAAGCAGCUGCUCACCUGGUAAAGCUGCUGGACUCACCUGCUCAGAGGUCGAUGAGUUCAGGUUGGUGGGAGGAGCCAGUCGCUGUGCAGGAAGACUGGAGCUGAAAUAUCUUGGAGAACAGAGACCUGUGAUGAACGAUUUCUUCACCCUGGAGACAGCAGCUCUCAUCUGUGAACAUCUGAACUGUGGCUCUGCUGUUUCUGUUGACCCAACUGAUGCAUCAGAUCGAUCUGUGUUUGGUAUCAACCCAGACUGUGUUCGAUCUCAAUCAAAUCUGUGGAACUGUGUGGAAUCAUGGAGUAACCCUCGCACCCUGAAACUCACCUGUUCAGACUCGGUGCGGCUGCUGAAUGGAUCCAGUCAUUGUUCAGGCAGACUGCAGGUGAAGACUA